Molecule: ribosomal RNA, 404 nt
Filed under: Fusobacteriota bacterium
Lineage: Bacteria; Fusobacteriati; Fusobacteriota
Description: Fusobacteria bacterium partial 16S ribosomal RNA
Rfam family: Bacterial small subunit ribosomal RNA
Source: RNAcentral
UGGGGAAUAUUGCACAAUGGAGGGCACUCUGAUGCAGCGACGCCGCGUGAGGGAUGAAGGAAUUCGUUUCGUAAAACCCUGUUCUAUGGGAAGAAAAGGACUGUACCAUAGGAGAAAGCUCCGGCUAAACACGUGCCAGCAGCCGCGGUAAUACGUAAGGAGCGAGCGUUGUCCGGAAUUAUUGGGCGGAAAGGGUGCGCAGGCGGCUUUACAAGUUGGAUGUGAAAUAUUGUGGCUCAACCAGGAACGUGCAUCCAAAACUGCAAAGCUUGGGUUAAGGAGAGGUAGGUGGAAUUCCUGGUGUGGCGGUGGAAUGCGUAAAUAUCAGGAGGAAUACCGGUGGCGAAGGCGACUUCCUGGGCAUAAACUGACGCUCAGGGACAAAGGCGUGGGGAGCAAACAGG